This 458-nucleotide long non-coding RNA is filed under the name Salvia miltiorrhiza (redroot sage). RNAcentral describes it as "long non-coding RNA (SMIL_LNC000378)". The record is from RNAcentral. Lineage: Eukaryota; Viridiplantae; Streptophyta; Magnoliopsida; Lamiales; Lamiaceae.
UGAGGCGGUAAUUCUCGACGAUGGUGGGUACGGCGUUUGGCUUGCUAGUGGUGGCUGGAGCGUGGAUGAACCGCUGCCGCUGCCCUUCGUGCGAAAGUAGCUGGAUUUCUCUGUCCAUAAGUUUUACAGGUGAAAAAACCCUAUGAUUACUGUUUUCUGAGGGUUUUUGUGAAUAAUUGGUGUUGUGAUUAUGUCCCCUGUGUAUAUGUGAUUUUUUAUUGUGUUUGGGGAUGGUGAUGCCAUUUGUUGGAGUAGCCAUUGUGCGAUGGAGUUCUUUUCUUCAUUAGUUAACUUAGAAGUAGCUCUUAAAUUGGCCAUUUAUGCCUUUUGUAUUCAAUUCUAAUUUUCAGAUUGCAGUUUGAGUAAAUGGGUGUAGUUACUGCAGCUAUUUAAUGUUGUUUUGCUGAUUAGGUGAGUACUAAUAUUCCCUCCAAAUUUUUUGGAGGGAUGUGUUAAUG